RNAcentral lists this ribosomal RNA (497 nucleotides) under uncultured bacterium. RNAcentral's name for it is "partial 16S ribosomal RNA". It matches the Rfam family "Bacterial small subunit ribosomal RNA", at positions 28 to 507 of the family's 1533-position model. The record is from RNAcentral.
GACGAACGCUGGCGGCGUGCCUAAUACAUGCAAGUUGAGCGAUGAAGAUUGGUGCUUGCACCAAUUUGAAGAGCAGCGAACGGGUGAGUAACGCGUGGGGAAUCUGCCUUUGAGCGGGGGACAACAUUUGGAAACGAAUGCUAAUACCGCAUAACAACUUUAAACAUAAGUUUUAAGUUUGAAAGAUGCAAUUGCAUCACUCAAAGAUGAUCCCGCGUUGUAUUAGCUAGUUGGUGAGGUAAAGGCUCACCAAGGCGAUGAUACAUAGCCGACCUGAGAGGGUGAUCGGCCACAGUGGGACUGAGACACGGCCCAAACGCCUACGGGAGGCAGCAGUAGGGAAUCUUCGGCAAUGGACGAAAGUCUGACCGAGCAACGCCGCGUGAGUGAAGAAGGUUUUCGGAUCGUAAAACUCUGUUGGUAGAGAAGAACGUUGGUGAGAGUGGAAAGCUCAUCAAGUGACGGUAACUACACAGAAAGGGACGGCUAACUACGUG